Bos taurus (domestic cattle) is the source of this 69-nucleotide non-coding RNA. Lineage: Eukaryota; Metazoa; Chordata; Mammalia; Artiodactyla; Bovidae. The record is from Rfam.
CCUGGUGGCUCAGAUGGUAAAGUGUCUGCCUAUAAUGCAGGAGACCUGGGUUCAAUCCCUGGGUCAGGA